This 527-nucleotide ribosomal RNA is filed under the name uncultured bacterium. RNAcentral describes it as "bacterial SSU rRNA". It matches the Rfam family "Bacterial small subunit ribosomal RNA", at positions 388 to 916 of the family's 1533-position model. The record is from RNAcentral.
GCAGCGACGCCGCGUGGGGGAUGACGGCCUUCGGGUUGUAAACCCCUUUCACCAUCGGAGAAGCCUUGGGUUACCAAGGUGACGGUAGGUGGAGAAGAAGCACCGGCCAACUACGUGCCAGCAGCCGCGGUAAUACGUAGGGUGCGAGCGUUGUCCGGAAUUACUGGGCGUAAAGAGCUCGUAGGUGGUUUGUCGCGUUGUUCGUGAAAUUCCCUGGCUCAACUGGGGGCGUGCGGGCGAUACGGGCAGACUGGAGUACUGCAGGGGAGACUAGAAUUCCUAGUGUAGCGGUGGAAUGCGCAGAUAUCAGGAAGAACACCGGUGGCGAAGGCGGGUCUCUGGGCAGUAACUGACGCUGAGGAGCGAAAGCGUGGGGAGCGAACAGGAUUAGAUACCCUGGUAGUCCACGCCCUAAACGAUGCGAACUGGAUGUUGGGUACAUUACGGUACUCAGUGUCGAAGCUAACGCGUUAAGUUCGCCGCCUGGGGAGUACGGCCGCAAGGCUGAAACUCAAAGGAAUUGACGG